AGUGAACGCUGGCGGUAGGCCUAACACAUGCAAGUCGAACGGCAGCACAGUAAGAGCUUGCUCUUACGGGUGGCGAGUGGCGGACGGGUGAGGAAUACAGCGGAAUCUACUUUUUCGUGGGGGAUAACGUAGGGAAACUUACGCUAAUACCGCAUACGACCUACGGGUGAAAGCAGGGGAUCUUCGGACCUUGCGCGAUUGAAUGAGCCGAUGUCGGAUUAGCUAGUUGGCGGGGUAAAGGCCCACCAAGGCGACGAUCCGUAGCUGGUCUGAGAGGAUGGUCAGCCACACUGGAACUGAGACACGGUCCAGACUCCUACGGGAGGAAGCAGUGGGGAAUAUUGGACAAUGGGCGCAAGCCUGAUCCAGCCAUACCGCGUGGGUGAAGAAGGCCUUCGGGUUGUAAAGCCCUUUUGUUGGGAAAGAAAAGCAGCAGGUUAAUACCCCGCUGUUCUGACGGUACCCAAAGAAUAAGCACCGGCUAACUUCGUG
RNAcentral lists this ribosomal RNA (492 nucleotides) under uncultured bacterium. RNAcentral's name for it is "partial 16S ribosomal RNA". It matches the Rfam family "Bacterial small subunit ribosomal RNA", at positions 29 to 507 of the family's 1533-position model. The record is from RNAcentral.